UGGGGAAUAUUGGACAAUGGGCGCAAGCCUGAUCCAGCCAUGCCGCGUGAGUGAUGAAGGCCUUAGGGUUGUAAAGCUCUUUUAGCAGGGAAGAUAAUGACGGUACCUGCAGAAAAAGCCCCGGCUAACUUCGUGCCAGCAGCCGCGGUAAUACGGAGGGGGCUAGCGUUGCUCGGAAUUACUGGGCGUAAAGCGCACGUAGGCGGACUCUUAAGUCGGUGGUGAAAUCCUGGAGCUCAACUCCAGAACUGCCUUCGAUACUGGGAGUCUUGAGUUCGGGAGAGGUGAGUGGAACUGCGAGUGUAGAGGUGAAAUUCGUAGAUAUUAGGAAGAACACCAGUGGCGAAGGCGGCUCACUGGCCCGGAACUGACGCUGAGGUACGAAAGCGUGGGGAGCAAACA
This 402-nucleotide ribosomal RNA is filed under the name uncultured bacterium. RNAcentral describes it as "bacterial SSU rRNA". It matches the Rfam family "Bacterial small subunit ribosomal RNA", at positions 355 to 774 of the family's 1533-position model. The record is from RNAcentral.